CUGAUCCACUGGUUUAAUUUUAAAAUAAAAACGACUAAGAAAAGGAAUUACAUGUCCUUAUCAAAUCCCAGUCAUUAAUAUGCGUAAAUUGCAACCCACACGGGGAAACACCAAUUUAUAAAACGUAUACAUUAGACAAAUGAUAUCUGGGGAGGUGGGGUGGGAGAGGUGCAAGGUAAAUUCUCAUCGUUAACACUGGCCUCAGUAAGUUUGCUCAAAGUUUAAUUGUUUGGAGAUGUCACGCAAGCUGUACUCUGCCUUUCUGCAGAGCUGAGGGAGAAUAAAUUAGAAAGGUGCAAGUUUAACAAAAAGAGCUCGUGGAAAAUGGUCCAUUUCUUUCCUAUCCCUCUCCUCACAGGCCGUCUGGACAAAAAGAGAAAUCUACGGAAGAAUGUGGAGUACACACUGCCCAGCAUUGUCUAGGAGACGGAAAGAGAGCCCAGGCAACACACCAAGAGUAAGCUGUGUCCUGGGCGUGUGUAUCUUUGGACAGCAGAGCUUCCGGCUGCAGCGAGACGGGACUCACCGCGCCCGAGGGCUCCAGCAACCAGACCUAGGGAGGCUAGCGCGGCACACAGGUUAGAUAUACUUUCUCCUCCUCCACCUGCGCCGCCCUCCGCCUGGGUGCCAGGAGUGAUGAUGGAGGCGAUGGUGUCAAGGAGUAGGUGCCUGUGAGUGGGCGCCAACUUCAACGCCAACGCGAGCUUAGAUGCAACCAAGACCAAGGCUUGUAUCGACAGGCCAUCCUUCCCAGGGACCUGGAAGCCAACUACGCAACUCAGCAGGAGACUCUUCAAAGUCCUGUGUUUUCGGGUUUUUUUUUUUUUUUUAACAGACUGGUUUAUUUCAUGCAAUUCAUGAAAACCACCGCCAGACCACCUCUUACAACUUUUCCGCUCUUGGGCGGGGGCGCCAGGGUUGUCUCGCAACGCAAGAUUCCCUAUUACCAAGAGUUAGGCUCCUACCAGGAGGGUAUGCUGAGCAAAGCUUGAGGCCCUUUGGGCUACA
Molecule: long non-coding RNA, 1008 nt
Organism: Aethalodelphis obliquidens (Pacific white-sided dolphin)
Lineage: Eukaryota; Metazoa; Chordata; Mammalia; Artiodactyla; Delphinidae
Exons: 2
Source: RefSeq, a predicted model, not a curated record